CCUACGGGCGGCAGCAGUGGGGGAUAUUGCACAAUGGGGGAAACCCUGAUGCAGCGACGCCGCGUGAGUGAAGAAGUAUUUCGGUAUGUAAAGCUCUAUCAGCAGGGAAGAAAAUGACAGUACCUGACCAAGAAGCCCCGGCUAACUACGUGCCAGCAGCCGCGGUAAUACGUAGGGGGCAAGCGUUAUCCGGAUUUACUGGGUGUAAAGGGAGCGCAGACGGCUGUGCAAGUCUGGAGUGAAAGGCGGGGGCCCAACCCCCGGACUGCUCUGGAAACUGUAAAGCUGGAGUGCAGGAGAGGUAAGCGGAAUUCCUAGUGUAGCGGUGAAAUGCGUAGAUAUUAGGAGGAACACCAGUGGCGAAGGCGGCUUACUGGACUGCAACUGACGUUGAGGCUCGAAAGCGUGGGGAGCAAACAGGAUUAGAUACCCUUGUAGUC
Molecule: ribosomal RNA, 440 nt
Filed under: uncultured bacterium
Lineage: Bacteria
Description: partial 16S ribosomal RNA
Rfam family: Bacterial small subunit ribosomal RNA
Source: RNAcentral